UACGAGCUGCUACGGCAGCGAAGUGGGUGAUGUCAUGCUUCCAAGAAAAGCCCUAUACCCGUUAAGGCAUGAUGGCCUGUACCCGAAACCGACACAGGUGGGGUGGUAGAGAAUACCGAGGGGCGCGAGGUAACUCUCUCUAAGGAACUCGGCAAAAUGGCCCCGUAACUUCGGGAGAAGGGGUGCCACCGCAAGGUGGUCGCAGUGAAGAGGCCCAGGCGACUGUUUACCAAAAACACAGGUCUCCGCUAAGUCGCAAGACGAUGUAUGGGGGCUGACGCCUGCCCAGUGCCGGAAGGUUAAGGAAGCUGGUCAGCGUAAGCGAAGCUAGCGACUGAAGCCCCGGUGAACGGCGGCCGUAACGAUAACGGUCCUAAGGUAGCGAAAUUCCUUGUCGGGUAAGUUCCGACCCGCACGAAAGGCGUAACGAUCUGGGCGCUGUCUCGGAGAGAGGCUCGGCGAAAUAGAAUUGUCUGUGAAGAUGCGGACUACGUGCACCCGGACAGAAAGACCCUAUGAAGCUUUACUGUAGCUUGGUAUUGUGCUCGGGCUCGGAAUGCGCAGGAUAGGUGGGAGGCUAUGAACCAUUGCUUGUGGGUGAUGGUGAGCCACUGGUGAGAUACCACUCUUUCCGAGCUAGAGUUCUAACAGCCACCCGUUAUCCGGGGGCUGGACAGUAUCAGGUGGGCAGUUUGACUGGGGCGGUCGCCUCCUAAAAGGUAACGGAGGCGCGCAAAGGUUUGCUCAGGCUGGUUGGAAAUCAGCCGACGAGUGUAAAAGCAGAAGCAAGCUUGACUGUGAGACCUACAAGUCGAACAGGGAGGAAACUCGGCUUUAGUGAUCCGACGGUUCUGCGUGGAAGGGCCGUCGCUCAACGGAUAAAAGUUACUCUAAGGAUAACAGGCUGAUCUCCCCCAAGAGUUCACAUCGACGGGGAGGUUUGGCACCUCGAUGUCGGCUCAUCGCAACCUGGGGCUGAAGUCGGUCCCAAGGGUUGGGCUGUUCGCCCAUUAAAGCGGUACGCGAGCUGGGUUCAGAACGUCGUGAGACAGUUCGGUCCGUAUCCGGUGCAUGCGCAGGAAUAUUGAGAGGAUUUCUCCCUAGUACGAGAGGACCGGGAGGAACGCACCUCUGGUGUACCAGUUAUCGUGCCAACGGUAAACGCUGGGUAGCCAUGUGCGGAGAGGAUAACCGCUGAAAGCAUCUAAGUGGGAAGCCCACCUCAAGAUGAGUAUUCCCAUGGGGUAACCCAGUAAGGUCACGGGAAGAACACCCGUUGAUAGGCUCUACGUGGAAGCGCAGUAAUGUGUGAAGCGGAGGAGUACUAAUAGACCGAGGGCUUGACC
RNAcentral lists this ribosomal RNA (1346 nucleotides) under metagenome. RNAcentral describes it as "bacterial LSU rRNA". It matches the Rfam family "Bacterial large subunit ribosomal RNA", at positions 1568 to 2925 of the family's 2925-position model. The record is from RNAcentral.